Molecule: ribosomal RNA, 770 nt
Filed under: uncultured bacterium
Lineage: Bacteria
Description: bacterial SSU rRNA
Rfam family: Bacterial small subunit ribosomal RNA
Source: RNAcentral
GGUUCGUUACGUCGGAUGUGAAAAUCUGGGGCUCAACCCCAGACCUGCAUCCGAUACGGUCGAGCUAGAGUUUGGUAGGGGAGACUGGAAUUCCUGGUGUAGCGGUGGAAUGCGCAGAUAUCAGGAGGAACACCAAUGGCGAAGGCAGGUCUCUGGGCCAAUACUGACACUGAGGAGCGAAAGCGUGGGGAGCGAACAGGAUUAGAUACCCUGGUAGUCCACGCCGUAAACGGUGGGCGCUAGUUGUGGGAACCUUCCACGGUUUCUGCGACGCAGCUAACGCAUUAAGCGCCCCGCCUGGGGAGUACGAUCGCAAGAUUAAAACUCAAAGGAAUUGACGGGGGCCCCCGCACAAGCAGCGGAGCAUGCGGCUUAAUUCGACGCAACGCGAAGAACCUUACCAAGGCUUGACAUAUACAGGAAUAUGGCAGAGAUGUCAUAGCGGUAAAACGUCUGUAUACAGGUGGUGCAUGGUUGUCGUCAGCUCGUGUCGUGAGAUGUUGGGUUAAGUCCCGCAACGAGCGCAACCCUCGUUCUGUGUUGCCAGCAUUUAGUUGGGGACUCACAGGAGACUGCCGGGGUUAACUCGGAGGAAGGUGGGGAUGACGUCAAAUCAUCAUGCCCCUUAUGUCUUGGGCUGCACGCAUGCUACAAUGGCUGGUACAAAGGGCUGCAAUACUGCAAAGUGGAGCGAAUCCCAAAAAGCCAGUCUCAGUUCGGAUUGGGGUCUGCAACUCGACCCCAUGAAGUCGGAGUUGCUAGUAAUCGUA